Transfer RNA from Felis catus (domestic cat), 86 nucleotides. It matches the Rfam family "tRNA". Rfam says of the family: Transfer RNA (tRNA) molecules are approximately 80 nucleotides in length. Their secondary structure includes four short double-helical elements and three loops (D, anti-codon, and T loops). NCBI's taxonomy places the organism in Eukaryota, Metazoa, Chordata, Mammalia, Carnivora, Felidae. The record is from Rfam.
GCCUGUGUGGCUCAGUCGGUUAAGCGUCUGACUUCUGCUCAGGUCAUGAUCUCAAUUGUUCGUGGGUUCGAGCCCCGCAUCAGUCU